This 121-nucleotide small nucleolar RNA is filed under the name Echinops telfairi (small Madagascar hedgehog). Its description in RNAcentral is "Small nucleolar RNA SNORA61 (ENSETEG00000025807.1)". Lineage: Eukaryota; Metazoa; Chordata; Mammalia; Afrosoricida; Tenrecidae. The record is from RNAcentral.
AACCUCUAGAUUCCUUACCCCAUGGAUCUAAAUAUCAGUCUGAGUGGCUGAAAAUAAGGAGGAAGUGUAAAACUGAAAUGGACUUGCGAUCUUUAGAUGGACAAGUUCAUUUCGAACAUAU